Molecule: ribosomal RNA, 536 nt
Filed under: uncultured archaeon
Lineage: Archaea
Description: bacterial SSU rRNA
Rfam family: Archaeal small subunit ribosomal RNA
Source: RNAcentral
AGCCGCGGUAACACCGGCGGCCCGAGUGGUGAUCGUGAUUAUUGGGUCUAAAGGGUCCGUAGCCGGUUUGGUCAGUCCUCCGGGAAAUCUGAUAGCUCAACUAUUAGGCUUUCGGGGGAUACUGCCAGACUUGGAACCGGGAGAGGUAAGAGGUACUACAGGGGUAGGAGUGAAAUCUUGUAAUCCCUGUGGGACCACCUGUGGCGAAGGCGUCUUACCAGAACGGGUUCGACGGUGAGGGACGAAAGCUGGGGGCACGAACCGGAUUAGAUACCCGGGUAGUCCCAGCCGUAAACGAUGCUCGCUAGGUGUCAGGCAUGGCGCGACCGUGUCUGGUGCCGCAGGGAAGCCGUGAAGCGAGCCACCUGGGAAGUACGGCCGCAAGGCUGAAACUUAAAGGAAUUGGCGGGGGAGCACAACAACGGGUGGAGCCCUGCGGUUUAAUUGGACUCAACGCCGGACAACUCACCGGGGGCGACAGCAAUAUGUAGGCCAAGCUGAAGACUUUGCCUGAAUCGCUGAGAAGUGGUGCAUGG